AAUCGUACCCCAAACCGACACAGGUGGUCAGGUAGAGAAUACCAAGGCGCUUGAGAGAACUCGGGUGAAGGAACUAGGCAAAAUGGUGCCGUAACUUCGGGAGAAGGCACGCUGGCAUGUAGGUGAAGUCCCUUGCGGAUGGAGCUGAAGCCAGUCGAAGAUACCAGCUGGCUGCAACUGUUUAAUAAAAACACAGCACUGUGCAAACACGAAAGUGGACGUAUACGGUGUGACGCCUGCCCGGUGCUGGAAGGUUAAUUGAUGGGGUCAGCCGCAAGGCGAAGCUCUUGAUCGAAGCCCCAGUAAACGGCGGCCGUAACUAUAACGGUCCUAAGGUAGCGAAAUUCCUUGUCGGGUAAGUUCCGACCUGCACGAAUGGCGUAAUGAUGGCCAGGCUGUCUCCACCCGAGACUCAGUGAAAUUGAACUCGCUGUGAAGAUGCAGUGUACCCGCGGCAAGACGGAAAGACCCCGUGAACCUUUACUAUAGCUUGACACUGAACAUUGAGCCUUGAUGUGUAGGAUAGGUGGGAGGCUUUGAAGCGUGGACGCCAGUCUGCGUGGAGCCAUCCUUGAAAUACCACCCUUUAAUGUUUGAUGUUCUAACUCGGCCCCAUAAUCUGGGGUGAGGACAGUGUCUGGUGGGUAGUUUGACUGGGGCGGUCUCCUCCCAAAGAGUAACGGAGGAGCACGAAGGUUAGCUAAUCACGGUCGGACAUCGUGAGGUUAGUGCAAAGGCAUAAGCUAGCUUGACUGCGAGAGUGACGGCUCGAGCAGGUACGAAAGUAGGUCUUAGUGAUCCGGUGGUUCUGAAUGGAAGGGCCAUCGCUCAACGGAUAAAAGGUACUCCGGGGAUAACAGGCUGAUACCGCCCAAGAGUUCAUAUCGACGGCGGUGUUUGGCACCUCGAUGUCGGCUCAUCACAUCCUGGGGCUGAAGUAGGUCCCAAGGGUAUGGCUGUUCGCCAUUUAAAGUGGUACGCGAGCUGGGUUUAGAACGUCGUGAGACAGUUCGGUCCCUAUCUGCCGUGGGCGUUGGAAGAUUGAGAGGGGUUGCUCCUAGUACGAGAGGACCGGAGUGAACGCACCACUGGUGUUCGGGUUGUCAUGCCAAUGGCAUUGCCCGGUAGCUAAGUGCGGAAAAGAUAAGCGCUGAAAGCAUCUAAGCGCGAAACUUGCCUCAAGAUGAGUCUUCCCUGGGCCUUCAAGGCCCCUGAAGGAACGUUUAAGACUAAGACGUUGAUAGGCUGGGUGUGUAAGUGCAGCGAUGCAUUGAGCUAACCAGUACUAAUGAUCCGUGAGGCUUAACCUU
RNAcentral lists this ribosomal RNA (1310 nucleotides) under Serratia marcescens. RNAcentral's name for it is "partial 23S ribosomal RNA". It matches the Rfam family "Bacterial large subunit ribosomal RNA", at positions 1640 to 2925 of the family's 2925-position model. RNAcentral also lists the same sequence under 1 other name. Lineage: Bacteria; Pseudomonadati; Pseudomonadota; Gammaproteobacteria; Enterobacterales; Yersiniaceae. The record is from RNAcentral.